GUGGCGAGCGAAACUGUAUGAGCCUAAACCGUGUGCGUGUCAAGCGUGCUGGUGUUGCGUACAUGGUGUUGUGGGGUGUGUGUGUUCGGUUCAGCAUGACCGAGACGCUGAUGAGUUCUUACGUGUAGUCGAAGCUGGUGGGAAACAGUACCGGAGUGGUUGAGAGUCCCGUAGACGAAACGCGUGGCCCCAGUGUUACACACUCUCCCGAGUAGCACGGAACUCGUGGAAUUCUGUGUGAAUCUGCCUGG
This 251-nucleotide ribosomal RNA is filed under the name Chaetoceros curvisetus. Its description in RNAcentral is "partial Bacterial large subunit ribosomal RNA". It matches the Rfam family "Bacterial large subunit ribosomal RNA", at positions 246 to 451 of the family's 2925-position model. The record is from RNAcentral. Lineage: Eukaryota; Bacillariophyta; Thalassiosirophyceae; Chaetocerotales; Chaetocerotaceae.